This 894-nucleotide ribosomal RNA is filed under the name Campylobacter jejuni. RNAcentral's name for it is "bacterial SSU rRNA". It matches the Rfam family "Bacterial small subunit ribosomal RNA", at positions 74 to 987 of the family's 1533-position model. The record is from RNAcentral. Lineage: Bacteria; Pseudomonadati; Campylobacterota; Epsilonproteobacteria; Campylobacterales; Campylobacteraceae.
ANCUUGCUAGAAGUGGAUUAGUGGCGCACGGGUGAGUAAGGUAUAGUUAAUCUGCCCUACACAAGAGGACAACAGUUGGAAACGACUGCUAAUACUCUAUACUCCUGCUUAACACAAGUUGAGUAGGGAAAGUUUUUCGGUGUAGGAUGAGACUAUAUAGUAUCAGCUAGUUGGUAAGGUAAUGGCUUACCAAGGCUAUGACGCUUAACUGGUCUGAGAGGAUGAUCAGUCACACUGGAACUGAGACACGGUCCAGACUCCUACGGGAGGCAGCAGUAGGGAAUAUUGCGCAAUGGGGGAAACCCUGACGCAGCAACGCCGCGUGGAGGAUGACACUUUUCGGAGCGUAAACUCCUUUUCUUAGGGAAGAAUUCUGACGGUACCUAAGGAAUAAGCACCGGCUAACUCCGUGCCAGCAGCCGCGGUAAUACGGAGGGUGCAAGCGUUACUCGGAAUCACUGGGCGUAAAGGGCGCGUAGGCGGAUUAUCAAGUCUCUUGUGAAAUCUAAUGGCUUAACCAUUAAACUGCUUGGGAAACUGAUAGUCUAGAGUGAGGGAGAGGCAGAUGGAAUUGGUGGUGUAGGGGUAAAAUCCGUAGAUAUCACCAAGAAUACCCAUUGCGAAGGCGAUCUGCUGGAACUCAACUGACGCUAAGGCGCGAAAGCGUGGGGGAGCAAACAGGAUUANAUACCCUGGUAGUCCACGCCCUAAACGAUGUACACUAGUUGUUGGGGUGCUAGUCAUCUCAGUAAUGCANCUAACGCAUUAAGUGUACCGCCUGGGGAGUACGGUCNCAAGAUUAAAACUCAAAGGANUANACNGGNACCCGCACAAGCGGUGGAGCAUGUGGNUUUANUUNNAAGAUANNNAAANAACCUUACCUGGGCUUGAUAU